UCGAACGAGAUCCACGGUGUUAGCAAUUACACCUGAAGAUCUAGUGGCGAACGGGUGCGUAACACGUGAGGAACUUGUCCCGGUCUCUGGGAUAACAGUUGGAAACGACUGCUAAUACCGGAUGACGUCGGAGCAUCGCAUGGUGCGCUGACGAAAGGGUUACUGGAUCGGGAGAGCCUCGCGGCCUAUCGGCUUGUUGGUGGGGUAACGGCCCACCAAGGCAUCGACGGGUAGCUGGUCUGAGAGGAUGAUCAGCCACACUGGGACUGAGACACGGCCCAGACUCCUACGGGAGGCAGCAGUGGGGAAUCUUGCGCAAUGGGCGAAAGCCUGACGCAGCAACGCCGCGUGCGGGAUGAAGGCUCUCGGGUUGUAAACCGCUUUCAGCAGGAACGAAAAUGACGGUACUUGCAGAAGAAGGUGCGGCCAACUAUGUGCCAGCAGCCGCGGUGAUACAUAGGCACCAAGCGUUGUCCGGAUUUAUUGGGCGUAAAGAGCUCGUAGGCGGUUCGGUAAGUCGGGUGUGAAAACUUUGGGCUCAACCCAAAGCCUGCAUCCGAUACUGCUGUGACUAGAGUUCGGUAGGGGAGCGGGGAAUUCCUAGUGUAGCGGUGAAAUGCGCAGAUAUUAGGAGGAACACCGGUGGCGAAGGCGCCGCUCUGGGCCGAUACUGACGCUGAGGAGCGAAAGCGUGGGUAGC
RNAcentral lists this ribosomal RNA (700 nucleotides) under uncultured bacterium. RNAcentral's name for it is "bacterial SSU rRNA". It matches the Rfam family "Bacterial small subunit ribosomal RNA", at positions 62 to 769 of the family's 1533-position model. The record is from RNAcentral.